UUACGGCUAUAACACUUUGAAACACCUGUUCUCGUACGAUCACCGAAGAAAAGCAAUGUCAAGCAUGGUCAGUACCUUGAUGGGUGACUUGGGAAUACCAGGUGCUGUAAG
Acanthosepion pharaonis is the source of this 111-nucleotide non-coding RNA. NCBI's taxonomy places the organism in Eukaryota, Metazoa, Mollusca, Cephalopoda, Sepiida, Sepiidae. The record is from the annotation of a GenBank genome assembly.